This 200-nucleotide ribosomal RNA is filed under the name uncultured bacterium. RNAcentral describes it as "partial 16S ribosomal RNA". It matches the Rfam family "Bacterial small subunit ribosomal RNA", at positions 524 to 723 of the family's 1533-position model. The record is from RNAcentral.
UACGGAGGGUGCAAGCGUUAAUCGGAAUUACUGGGCGUAAAGCGUGUGUAGGCGGUUAGCUAAGUCGGAUGUGAAAGCCCCGGGCUUAACCUGGGAAUUGCAUUCGAUACUGGCUAACUUGAAUUUGGUAGAGGGAAGUGGAAUUCCGGGUGUAGCGGUGAAAUGCGUAGAUAUCCGGAGGAACAUCAGUGGCGAAGGCG